AUUGAACGCUGGCGGCAGGCCUAACACAUGCAAGUCGAGCGGAUGAAGGGAGCUUGCUCCUGGAUUCAGCGGCGGACGGGUGAGUAAUGCCUAGGAAUCUGCCUGGUAGUGGGGGAUAACGUCCGGAAACGGGCGCUAAUACCGCAUACGUCCUGAGGGAGAAAGUGGGGGAUCUUCGGACCUCACGCUAUCAGAUGAGCCUAGGUCGGAUUAGCUAGUUGGUGGGGUAAAGGCCUACCAAGGCGACGAUCCGUAACUGGUCUGAGAGGAUGAUCAGUCACACUGGAACUGAGACACGGUCCAGACUCCGACGGGAGGCAGCAGUGGGGAAUAUUGGACAAGGGGCGAAAGCCUGAUCCAGCCAUGCCGCGUGUGUGAAGAAGGUCUGCGGAUUGUAAAGCACUUUAAGUUGGGAGGAAGGGCAGUAAGUUAAUACCUUGCUGUUUGGACGUUACCAACAGAAUAAGCACCGGCUAACUUCGG
Molecule: ribosomal RNA, 483 nt
Filed under: uncultured bacterium
Lineage: Bacteria
Description: partial 16S ribosomal RNA
Rfam family: Bacterial small subunit ribosomal RNA
Source: RNAcentral